This 442-nucleotide ribosomal RNA is filed under the name uncultured bacterium. Its description in RNAcentral is "partial 16S ribosomal RNA". It matches the Rfam family "Bacterial small subunit ribosomal RNA", at positions 338 to 795 of the family's 1533-position model. The record is from RNAcentral.
CCUACGGGAGGCAGCAGUGGGGGAUAUUGCACAAUGGGGGAAACCCUGAUGCAGCGACGCCGCGUGGGCGAAGAAGUAUUUCGGUAUGUAAAGCCCUAUCAGCAGGGAAGAAAAAAUGACGUUACCUGAGUAAGAAGCACCGGCUAAAUACGUGCCAGCAGCCGCGGUAAUACGUAUGGUGCAAGCGUUAUCCGGAUUUACUGGGUGGAAAGGGAGCGCAGGCGGCACGGCAAGCCUGAUGUGAAAGCCCGCGGCCCAACCGCGGGACUGCAUUGGGAACUACCGGGCUGGAGUGCAGGAGAGGUAGGCGGAAUUCCUAGUGUAGCGGUGAAAUGCGUAGAUAUUAGGAGGAACACCAGUGGCGAAGGCGGCCUACUGGACGGUGACUGACGCUGAGGCUCGAAAGCGUGGGGAGCAAACAGGAUUAGAUACCCGUGUAGUC